GACGAACCGUGCGAACGUUGUUCGGAAUCACUGGGCUUAAAGGGCGCGUAGGCGGACCAUCAAGUCGGGGGUGAAAUCUUUCAGCCCAACUGGAAAAGGGCUUCCGAUACUGGUGGUCUCGAGGGAGGUAGGGGUCGAGGGAACUAAUGGUGGAGCGGUGAAAUGCGUAGAUAUCAUUAGGAACGCCGGUGGCGAAAGCGCUCGACUGGACCUCUUCUGACGCUGAGGCGCGAAAGCCAGGGGAGCAAACGGG
RNAcentral lists this ribosomal RNA (253 nucleotides) under Gemmataceae bacterium. RNAcentral's name for it is "partial 16S ribosomal RNA". It matches the Rfam family "Bacterial small subunit ribosomal RNA", at positions 524 to 776 of the family's 1533-position model. The record is from RNAcentral. Lineage: Bacteria; Pseudomonadati; Planctomycetota; Planctomycetia; Gemmatales; Gemmataceae. RNAcentral also lists the same sequence under 1 other name.